AUUGAACGCUGGCGGCAUGCCUUACACAUGCAAGUCGAACGGUAGCGCGGGGCAACCUGGCGACGAGUGGCGAACGGGUGAGUAAAGCAUCGGAACGUGCCCUGGAAUGGGGGAUAACGUAGCGAAAGUUACGCUAAUACCGCAUAUUCUGUGAGCAGGAAAGCAGGGAAUCGCAAGACCUUGCGUUCUGGGAGCGGCCGAUGUCGGAUUAGCUAGUUGGUGGGGUAAAAGCCUACCAAGGCGACGAUCCGUAGCGGGUCUGAGAGGAUGAUCCGCCACACUGGGACUGAGACACGGCCCAGACUCCUACGGGAGGCAGCAGUGGGGAAUUUUGGACAAUGGGCGGAAGCCUGAUCCAGCCAUGCCGCGUGAGUGAAGAAGGCCU
RNAcentral lists this ribosomal RNA (385 nucleotides) under uncultured bacterium. Its description in RNAcentral is "bacterial SSU rRNA". It matches the Rfam family "Bacterial small subunit ribosomal RNA", at positions 29 to 417 of the family's 1533-position model. The record is from RNAcentral.